AGCAGGCCUCUGUUCAUGAGGUUAUAUUCAUAGUAUCGCUUUGAAGAAGCAGAUGGGUUCAGAUCUGUUCUCUAAGAGCAAGUCCAAUGCUAGAUGCUAUAUAUCUAUUGCUAUUGCUAUAAUAUAGCACCAAAAAGUGUUUUUUGGUGCUAAAAUAAAACUUGCACUCCAAUGCUAAGUUCUAUAACUAGUUUCAAAUUUAACCAACUCAUUAACUUUUACCUAACUUCUAUAUAGAACCAACUCAUUAACUUUUACCUAACUCAUUAACUAGUUUCCAAUUUCUAGUUAAUGAUGAUGUGGCAACAUGGAUGGAUUCAUCCUUGGUUUCAAAUAUAGAACCAAGGAUGCAUCUAAGCAUGGAUGCAUCCAAAUAUAGCACUCCUUUGGAGUUGAGUUUUUUUACUUUUGAUGCUAUAAUAUAGCAAUAGAACCAAGUAUAGCAUUGCAUUGGAGUUGCUCUAAUAAUAGCAGCAAGUGCUAUUAAAUUCCGAGAUGGAGGUUUCAGAUGAGAAGAUAAGAUUAGUCGGUAUAGGAUCGCUUGUCAUUUCGAUAUUAUUGUAAUCUGAAGAGGAUACAAAUCAUUUCCUCAUCAUUUGUCUAUCUGCUGCUCAAGGACAAAGCGUGACAUGGUUACUUUGAAUACUUGCUCCAACCCCUAAGAUGUCGGUUCAGUUAGUAUUGCCAGAGUAUGGACAAAGCAUUGAUGUUAUGGUCAAAUUUCACCACUUGAAAAUGAGAUCUGAUCUCUACUCGAAGAUAUUAAAAAUAAAAUAUACUUGCAGAAAGUCUUUCAAACUCUGACAAAAACUUGCAAAUUAAGGACAUGGAUUUUA
RNAcentral lists this long non-coding RNA (836 nucleotides) under Daucus carota (carrot). RNAcentral's name for it is "long non-coding RNA (DCAR_LNC001647)". Lineage: Eukaryota; Viridiplantae; Streptophyta; Magnoliopsida; Apiales; Apiaceae. The record is from RNAcentral.